Molecule: ribosomal RNA, 459 nt
Filed under: uncultured bacterium
Lineage: Bacteria
Description: partial 16S ribosomal RNA
Rfam family: Bacterial small subunit ribosomal RNA
Source: RNAcentral
CCUACGGGAGGCAGCAGUGAGGAAUAUUGGUCAAUGGCCGCAGGGCUGAACCAGCCAAGUCGCGUGAGGGAUGACGGUCCUAUGGGUUGUAAACCUCUUUUGUCAGGGAGCAAAGGGCGCCACGUGUGGCGUUUUGCGAGUACCUGAAGAAAAAGCAUCGGCUAACUCCGUGCCAGCAGCCGCGGUAAUCCGGAGGAUGCGAGCGUUAUCCGGAUUUAUUGGUUUUAAAGGGUGCGCAGGCGGAAUGUCAAGUCAGCGGUAAAAUUUCGGGGCUCAACCCCGUCGUGCCGUUGAUACUGGCGGUCUUGAGUGAGCGAGAAGUAUGCGGAAUGCGUGGUGUAGCGGUGAAAUGCAUAGAUAUCACGAAGAACUCCGAUUGCGAAGGCAGCAUACUGGCGCUCAACUGACGCUCAUGCACGAAAGCGUGGGUAUCGAACAGGAUUAGAUACCCUUGUAGUC